GACGAACGCUGGCGGCGUGCUUAACACAUGCAAGUCGAACGAUGAAGCUGGAGCUUGCUCCGGUGGAUUAGUGGCGAACGGGUGAGUAACACGUGAGCAAUCUGCCCUUGACUCUGGGAUAACUGCGGGACACUGUAGCUAAUACCGGAUAUGAGGCUUGGAGGCAUCUCCAGGUAUGGAAAGAAUUUCGGUCAAGGAUGAGCUCGCGGCCUAUCAGCUAGUUGGUGAGGUAAUGGCUCACCAAGGCGACGACGGGUAGCCGGCCUGAGAGGGUGACCGGCCACACUGGGACUGAGACACGGCCCAGACUCCUACGGGAGGCAGCAGUGGGGAAUAUUGCACAAUGGGCGAAAGCCUGAUGCAGCAACGCCGCGUGAGGGAUGAAGGCCUUCGGGUUGUAAACCUCUUUUAGCAGGGAAGAAGCGAAAGUGACGGUACCUGCAGAAAAAGCACCGGCUAACUACGUGCCAGCAGCCGCCGUAA
Molecule: ribosomal RNA, 483 nt
Filed under: uncultured bacterium
Lineage: Bacteria
Description: partial 16S ribosomal RNA
Rfam family: Bacterial small subunit ribosomal RNA
Source: RNAcentral